AUGGUUUUCCCAGGAAGGGGAAGGAUCCGUGUCGAUGCUGACAGUGUUCAGAGGGUAUUUGAUCUCCCAAACAGGGGUCAAAAAGUCAGAUAUUUGGUUGACAAGGAUGCCACUAGGAGAUUUAGAGAGGUUUUCAACAUAAUUGGAAAUUCUCAUCCCCAGAUCACUACAUGGCUCAAGAUGAUUCAAGAUAUGGCUGGAAGAACCGAUGGCACAUUGUUUAUGGCCUGUCUUGCGGUUGCCUUCAGCACUUUUCUAGCACCAACCACGGCCUUGAAGCUCAGCCCAAAGUGUUAUGGACUUGUGCUAGAUCAUCAAAUGCUAAAGAACACAAACAUCUGCCUCUUUGUAGCAGAACACAUUAACGAAGCUUUCCGGGACAUGGACCCGGAGAAGCAAACUGCCUGCUGCUGCUUGUAUCACUUGAUGGUGAUCAAGAAGGAUACUAUCUCUCCUGGUGUGUUCGGCAAAUUACAACUUAAAGAGGAGUAUAGAGGCACGAAGCAGACACCACUAUUUGGUGGAAUUUUGCAAGCUGAAGCAUUCGUGGCAUCCAAGUUACCAAUAACCUACAAUCCGCAGGUUGGCACCUUCAUUGAAACAGUUGCCAAGAUCGAUGACGAGGAACCAGAUAUUGAUCCUUAUGUACAGCAGCCAUCAAUGCAAAUCGGGGCGUCAUGCCGUGCUCCAAAAAGAAAGAGACAAGGGUCAACUAUACAAGAAGAAGAAGAGUUUGUUGAGGAUGAGUCAGAAGAAGAUGAGGAAAUGGAAGCAGCGAUAGAUGCUGACGACGAUGAGGACACAGAUGCGGAUGAAUCAGGGGAGGAGGACAAGGAUGAGGAUGACAAUGAAGAAGAUUCAGAGGAGGAGGAGGACAAACAAGAAGAGGAAAAAGGAGAGGAGGAGGACAAGGAAGAAGAUAGUGAGGCAGAGGAGGAGGAAUAA
RNAcentral lists this ribosomal RNA (945 nucleotides) under Triticum aestivum (bread wheat). RNAcentral describes it as "partial small subunit ribosomal RNA". Lineage: Eukaryota; Viridiplantae; Streptophyta; Magnoliopsida; Poales; Poaceae. The record is from RNAcentral.